GUUUGAUUCUGGCUCAGAACGAACGCUGGCAGCGUGGAUUAGGCAUGCAAGUCGAACGGGAAGCUGUUGAUUCAAUCUUCGGAGAGAAACAGCGGUGGAGAGUGGCGAAAGGGUGAGUAACGCGUGGGUAAUCUACCCUCAAGAUGGGGAUAACUCCGCGAAAUCGGGGCUAAUACCGAAUGUGGUUAUUCGUCGCAUGACGAAUGGACUAAAGGCGGGGACCUUCGGGCCUGCCGUUUGAGGAGGAGCCCGCGUCCCAUCAGCUUGUUGGUGAGGUAACGGCUCACCAAGGCUUACGGGUAGCCGGCCUGAGAGGGUGAUCGGCCACACUGGGACUGAGACACUGCCCAGACUCCUACGGGAGGCUGCAGUCGAGGAUCAUUCACAAUGCGCGAAAGCGUGAUGAUGCGACGCUGCGUGGAGGAUGACGGCCUUCGGGUUGUAAACUCCUGUCAUGCGGGAAAAACGGUCCCGUGCCGAAUAAGCACGGGAUGUGAUGGUACCGCAAGAGGAAGCCACGGCUAACUCUGUGCCAGCAGCCGCGGUAAUACAGAGGUGGCAAGCGUUGUUCGGAUUUACUGGGCGUAAAGGGUGCGUAGGUGGUUACGUGUGUCGGAUGUGAAAGGCCGCCGCUCAACGGCGGGAUUGCAUUCGAAACUGCGAAACUAGAGGCCAGGAGGGGAGAGCGGAAUUCUUGGUGUAGCGGUGAUAUGCGUUGAUAUCAAGAGGAACACCGGUGGCGAAGGCGGCUCUCUGGAAUGGUUCUGACACUGAGGCACGAAAGCUGGGGGAGCAAACAGGAUUAGAUACCCUGGUAGCCCCAGCCGUAAACGGUGUGCACUUGGUGUGGGCGGUAUUGACCCCGCCCGUGCCGGAGCUAACGCGUUAAGUGCACCGCCUGGGGAGUACGGCCGCAAGGCUAAAACUCAAAGAAAUUGACGGGGGCCCGCACAAGCGGAGGAGCAUGUGGCUUAAUUCGAUGCAACGCGAAGAACCUUACCAGGGCUUGACAUGUAGCUGCACGCUCCCUGAAAGGGGAGAAGCCUUCGAGGGUGCUACACAGGUGCUGCAUGGCUGUCGUCAGUUCGUGCCGUGAGGUGUUGGGUUAAGUCCCGCAACGAACGCAACCCCUGUGUCUAGUUGCCACCGCAGGUGAUGAGCCUGCGAGCACUCUAGGCAGACUGCCUGUACAAACGGGAGGAAGGUGGGGACGACGUCAAGUCCGUAUGGCCCUUACGCCCUGGGCUGCACACGUGCUACAAUGGUCGGUACAGAAGGAUGCAAGACCGCGAGGUGGAGCAAAUCCGAAAAGCCGGCCUCAGUUCGGAUUGGAGUCUGCAACUCGACUCCAUGAAGUUGGAUUCGCUAGUAAUGGCGCAUCAGCUACGGCGCCGUGAAUACGUUCCCGGGCCUUGUACACACCGCCCGUCACAUCAUGAAAGCCGUCUGCACCCGAAGUUGCCGAGCCAACCCUCACGGGAGGCAGGUACCGAAGGUGUGGGUGGUGAUUGGGAUGAAGUCGUAACAAGGUA
RNAcentral lists this ribosomal RNA (1532 nucleotides) under metagenome. Its description in RNAcentral is "bacterial SSU rRNA". It matches the Rfam family "Bacterial small subunit ribosomal RNA". The record is from RNAcentral.